CUUGGUCAUUUAGAGGAAGUAAAAGUCAUAACAAGGUUUCCGUGGGUGAACCUGCGGAAGGAUCAUUAAUAGUGCCCAUUGAUGCAAAUCAUUGGGUUAGAUCUGCCCUUAUCGCAAGAUGAGGGCUUCCAUAUACACCGUGAACUGUGGCUUCGGCCAUCACAAACUGUUAGUAAUGAAUGUAAUAUCAUAACAAAAACAAAACUUUUAACAACGGAUCUCUUGGCUCUCGCAUCGAUGAAGAACGCAGCGAAAUGCGAUAAGUAAUGUGAAUUGCAGAAUUCAGUGAAUCAUCGAAUCUUUGAACGCACCUUGCGCCCUUUGGUAUUCCGAAGGGCAUGCCUGUUUGAGUGUCAUGAAACCUCACCCCACUUAGGUUUUUGCCUAAGCGGUGGUGUAUUGGGUGUUUGCCUUGCUAAAGGCUCGCCUUAAAGAUAUAAGCACCUUGGAUGUAAUACGUUUCAUCCUUCUGGGUGGCUGAUAACCCCACAUAUUCAUGAUCUGGCCUCAAAUCAGGUAGGGCUACCCGCUGAACUUAAGCAUAUCAAUAAGCGGAGGAAAAGAAACUAACUAGGAUUCCCUUAGUAACGGCGAGUGAACCGGGAUGAGCUCAAAUUUAAAAUCUGGCGUCUUUCAGGCGUCCGAGUUGUAAUCUAUAGAGGCGUUUUCCGCGCCGGACCGCGUCCAAGUCUCUUGGAAUAGAGUAUCAAAGAGGGUGACAAUCCCGUACUUGACGCGACAACCGGUGCUCUGUGAUACGUUCUCAAUGAGUCGAGUUGUUUGGGAAU
RNAcentral lists this small RNA (788 nucleotides) under uncultured Cryptococcus. Its description in RNAcentral is "eukaryotic LSU rRNA". The stretch from base 503 to 788 matches the Rfam family "Eukaryotic large subunit ribosomal RNA", at positions 1 to 281 of the family's 3401-position model. The record is from RNAcentral. Lineage: Eukaryota; Fungi; Basidiomycota; Tremellomycetes.